CUGAGACCCGAAAGGUCGAAGAGAGAAAUUCAUUCGCGUUUCUUGAAUGUCUUUGAGCGGUGUUGAGUGACAAAAUAUGUAUUUAUAUAUAUAUUUUGCGCCCGCUGUUUGAUGAAACAUUUUUGAACGUGUGCACUUUUCUCUCUGUAGGACGUCGCGAUCCGUUGGGUGUUGAUCUACAACAUAUGCAGUGGAGCCCGUUAGUUUUCAUACUAUUUUUUAGUAUGUUUAUACAAACGGACCUGUAAUGUUUGGUCAACUCGCUCGACGGUAUAACUAGUAUCGGUCUAAGGCCGCUCUUGUAGCGUUUGACUCGAAGCAAGCGUGUUAGAUGCAUGUUGGCAAAUCGGAUAUUGUGCCGAUUCCGACCUCUAACGACUGUUGGUUUCGAUGUUCUCAAACAGACCUUAUUAUUAAAGACCAAUCGGCGACGCUAUAGCUUUGGGUACUUUCAGGACCCGUCUUGAAACACGGACCAAGGAGUCUAGCAUGUACGCAAGUCAUUGAGAUUAUUACUAAACUUAAAGGCGUAAUGAAAGUAAAGGUCUUCCUUGCGAAGAUCGAGGGAAGAGAUGUAACUACUUUUAUAGUUGCUUCGCAUUCCCGGGGCGUCUCAUUCUCAUUGCGAGAAGAGGCGCACCAAGAGCGUACACGCUGGGACCCGAAAGAUGGUGAACUAUGCCUGGUCAGGACGAAGUCAGGGGAAACCCUGAUGGAGGUCCGUAGCGAUUCUGACGUGCAAAUCGAUCGUCGGAACUGGGUAUAGGGGCGAAAGACUAAUCGAACCAUC
This 790-nucleotide ribosomal RNA is filed under the name Pycnarthrum hispidum. RNAcentral describes it as "eukaryotic LSU rRNA". It matches the Rfam family "Eukaryotic large subunit ribosomal RNA", at positions 421 to 944 of the family's 3401-position model. Lineage: Eukaryota; Metazoa; Arthropoda; Insecta; Coleoptera; Curculionidae. The record is from RNAcentral.